AUACAGAGGGUGCAAGCGUUAAUCGGAUUUACUGGGCGUAAAGCGCGCGUAGGUGGCUAAUUAAGUCAAAUGUGAAAUCCCCGAGCUUAACUUGGGAAUUGCAUUCGAUACUGGUUAGCUAGAGUAUGGGAGAGGAUGGUAGAAUUCCAGGUGUAGCGGUGAAAUGCGUAGAGAUAUGGAGGAAUACCGAUGGCGAAGGCAGCCAUCUGGCCUAAUACUGACACUGAGGUGCGAAAGCAUGGGGAGCAAACAGGAUUAGAUACCCUGGUAGUCCAUGCCGUAAACGAUGUCUACUAGCCGUUGGGGCCCUUGAGGCUUUAGUGGCGCAGCUAACGCGAUAAGUAGACCGCCUGGGGAGUACGGUCGCAAGACUAAAACUCAAAUGAAUUGACGGGG
Molecule: ribosomal RNA, 396 nt
Filed under: uncultured bacterium
Lineage: Bacteria
Description: partial 16S ribosomal RNA
Rfam family: Bacterial small subunit ribosomal RNA
Source: RNAcentral